This 331-nucleotide long non-coding RNA is filed under the name Athene cunicularia (burrowing owl). RNAcentral's name for it is "lncRNA (ENSACUG00000001771.1)". The record is from RNAcentral. Lineage: Eukaryota; Metazoa; Chordata; Aves; Strigiformes; Strigidae.
GAACAACACAGCUCCUGAUUGGCAAUCCCUGCUGCCCCUGCACUUGCAGCCUGGAGAUGCCUCAGAAGUGCCACUACAGUUACUGUCUGGGACAAAAGAGCAGGUCAGACUCUGCCCUGCCUGGCUUGGUGAGCCCAGCCGUGGGAACCUGGGACCAGACACCAGCAAGAGUGCAUAGGAGGAAAAUCUGAUGUGCCCUCCAGGAACAGAAUGCACACACGUCCGUAGGAAAAGGCUUGAUGAUUUCUGCUACCUCUGCAGUGUUCUUUAUUGGAAUGAUAAACCCUGACAGAACAAUAAACGCUUUAUUGGAACAGUAAACCCUGAUGUC